Molecule: ribosomal RNA, 492 nt
Filed under: uncultured bacterium
Lineage: Bacteria
Description: partial 16S ribosomal RNA
Rfam family: Bacterial small subunit ribosomal RNA
Source: RNAcentral
AGUGAACGCUGGCGGUAGGCCUAACACAUGCAAGUCGAACGGCAGCACAGUAAGAGCUUGCUCUUACGGGUGGCGAGUGGCGGACGGGUGAGGAAUACAUCGGAAUCUACUUUUUCGUGGGGGAUAACGUAGGGAAACUUACGCUAAUACCGCAUACGACCUACGGGUGAAAGCAGGGGAUCUUCGGACCUUGCGCGAUUGAAUGAGCCGAUGUCGGAUUAGCUAGUUGGCGGGGUAAAGGCCCACCAAGGCGACGAUCCGUAGCUGGUCUGAGAGGAUGAUCAGCCACCCUGGAACUGAGACACGGUCCAGACUCCUACGGGAGGCAGCAGUGGGGAAUAUUGGACAAUGGGGGCAAGCCUGAUCCAGCCAUACCGAGUGGGUGAAGAAGGCCUUCGGGUUGUAAAGCCCUUUUGUUGGGAAAGAAAAGCAGCAGGUUAAUACCCCGCUGUUCUGACGGUACCCAAAGAAUAAGCACCGGCUAACUUCGUG